Molecule: ribosomal RNA, 385 nt
Filed under: Caenestheria sp. 2 QY-2006
Lineage: Eukaryota; Metazoa; Arthropoda; Branchiopoda; Diplostraca; Cyzicidae
Description: partial 12S ribosomal RNA
Source: RNAcentral
UUAUUCAUACCUAAAAUUGCCAGGGUAGUAAAGAGAAUCCUUCAAACCCAAAAGAUUUGGCGGCACUUUCUUCUCUUCAGAGGGACCUGCCCCUUUAUCGACAUCCACGCUAAAUCUUACCUUUUCUUAUAAGUUUGUAUACCGCCGUUGCCAGAUAAUUUUUACAAAACAUUAUCAACCCUAAAGAUUUUAAAGACUUCAGGUCAAGGGGCCCCCUUUUAAAAUGGGGGUGGGGGGUUACAAANAAUAAUUUUAUAGUUGCGGAUGACUUUUUNGCAAAAAAAGUUUGAAGGGGGGAUUUGAAAAGAAAAUUUCCUAAAAUAAAAGAAAUUGGAAAAAAGCUCUGAAAGGGGUGCACAUCGCCCGUCGCUCUCCCUAAUAAAAC